CACCUCUCAAGCCUGGCUUGCUGUUGGACUCUAGGUCUCGCUCAAGCGAUGACCGGUCUUAAAGAUAAUGACGGCGUCUGUGAGGACCCCUGUACACUGAGCUUUUAUAGCACGUACUAGGCGGGAGUCCAGGCCCGGUCUUACCCAUUUUUACUUAAAAGGUUGACCUCGGAUCAGGUAGGAAUACCCGCUGAACUUAA
Molecule: unclassified non-coding RNA, 200 nt
Filed under: soil metagenome
Description: partial contains internal transcribed spacer 2 and large subunit ribosomal RNA
Source: RNAcentral